GAUGAACGCUGGCGGCAUGCUUUACACAUGCAAGUCGGACGGGAAGUGGUGUUUCCAGCGGCGGACGGGUGAGUAACGCGUAAGAACCUGCCCUUGGGAGGGGAACAACAGCUGGAAACGGCUGCUAAUACCCCGUAGGCUGAGGAGCGAAAGGAGGAAUCCGCCCAAGGAGGGGCUCGCGUCUGAUUAGCUAGUUGGUGAGGUAAUAGCUUACCAAGGCCGUGAUCAGUAGCUGGUCCGAGAGGAUGAUCAGCCACACUGGGACUGAGACAAGGCCCAGACUCCUACGGGAGGCAGCAGUGGGGAAUUUUCCGCAAUGGGCGAAAGCCUGACGGAGCAAUGCCGCGUGGAGGUAAAAGGCCUACGGGUCAUGAACUUCUUUUCCUGGAGAAGAAACAAUGACGGUAUCUGGGGAAUAAGCAUCGGCUAACUCUGUG
RNAcentral lists this ribosomal RNA (437 nucleotides) under uncultured bacterium. RNAcentral's name for it is "partial 16S ribosomal RNA". It matches the Rfam family "Bacterial small subunit ribosomal RNA", at positions 28 to 507 of the family's 1533-position model. The record is from RNAcentral.